Molecule: transfer RNA, 72 nt
Filed under: Opistognathus evermanni
Lineage: Eukaryota; Metazoa; Chordata; Actinopteri; Opistognathidae
Description: tRNA-Thr
Rfam family: tRNA
About the family: Transfer RNA (tRNA) molecules are approximately 80 nucleotides in length. Their secondary structure includes four short double-helical elements and three loops (D, anti-codon, and T loops).
Source: RNAcentral
GCACUAGUAGCUCAGAGCCAGAGCGCCGGCCUUGUAAGCCGGACGCCGAAGGUUAAAUCCCUUCCUACUGCU